This 1355-nucleotide ribosomal RNA is filed under the name uncultured bacterium. Its description in RNAcentral is "bacterial SSU rRNA". It matches the Rfam family "Bacterial small subunit ribosomal RNA", at positions 27 to 1392 of the family's 1533-position model. The record is from RNAcentral. RNAcentral also lists the same sequence under 1 other name.
GGACGAACGCUGGCGGCGUGCCUAAUACAUGCAAGUCGAGCGAUUGGUGCUUGCACCAAAGCGGCGGACGGGUGAGUAACACGUGGGUAACCUGCCCAAGAGACUGGGAUAACACCUGGAAACAGAUGCUAAUACCGGAUAACAACACUGACGCAUGUCUAGAGUUAAAAGAUGUUCUUAUCACUCUUGGAUGGACCUGCGGUGCAUUAGCUAGUUGGUAAGGUAACGGCUUACCAAGGCAAUGAUGCAUAGCCGAGUUGAGAGACUGAUCGGCCACAUUGGGACUGAGACACGGCCCAAACUCCUACGGGAGGCAGCAGUAGGGAAUCUUCCACAAUGGACGCAAGUCUGAUGGAGCAACGCCGCGUGAGUGAAGAAGGGUUUCGGCUCGUAAAGCUCUGUUGGUAGUGAAGAAAGAUAGAGGUGUAAGCCUUUAUUUGACGGUAAUUACUUAGAAAGUCACGGCUAACUACGUGCCAGCGGCCGCGGUAAUACGUAGGUGGCAAGCGUUGUCCGGAUUUAUUGGGCGUAAAGAGAGUGCAGCGGUUUUCUAAGUCUGAUGUGAAAGCCUUCGGCUUAACCGGAGAAGUGCAUCGGAACUGGAUAACUUGAGUGCAGAAGAGGGUAGUGGAACUCCAUGUGUAGCGGUGGAUGCGUAGAUAUAUGGAAGAACACCAGUGGCGAAGGCGGCUACUGGUCUGCAACUGACGCUGAGACUCGAAAGCAUGGGUAGCGAACAGGAUUAGAUACCCUGGUAGUCCAUGCCGUAAACGAUGAGUGCUAGGUGUUGGAGGGUUUCCCCCUUCAGUGCCGGAGCUAACGCAUUAAGCACUCCGCCUGGGGAGUACGACCGCAAGGUUGAAACUCAAAGGAAUUGACGGGGGCCCGCACAAGCGGUGGAGCAUGUGGUUUAAUUCGAAGCUACGCGAAGAACCUUACCAGGUCUUGACAUCUUGCGCCAACCCUAGAGAUAGGUGGUUCCCUUCGGGGACGCAGAGACAGGUGGUGCAUGGCUGUCGUCAGCUCGUGUCGUGAGAUGUUGGGUUAAGUCCCGCAACGAGCGCAACCCUUGUCUUUAGUUGCCAUCAUUAAGUUGGGCACUCUAAAGAGACUGCCGGUGACAAACCGGAGGAAGGUGGGGAUGACGUCAAGUCAUCAUGCCCCUUAUGACCUGGGCUACACACGUGCUACAAUGGGCAGUACAACGAGAAGCGAACCCGCGAGGGUAAGCGGAUCUCUUAAAGCUGCUCUCAGUUCGGACUGCAGGCUGCAACUCGCCUGCACGAAGCUGGAAUCGCUAGUAAUCGCGGAUCAGCACGCCGCGGUGAAUACGUUCCCGGGCCUUGUACACACCG